RNAcentral lists this unclassified non-coding RNA (1312 nucleotides) under Hevea brasiliensis (rubber tree). Lineage: Eukaryota; Viridiplantae; Streptophyta; Magnoliopsida; Malpighiales; Euphorbiaceae. The record is from RNAcentral.
GUCCAAUGUUCCAUUAUCCAAUUUUAAUAACAUUAUACGGCUUUUUAGUUUUAUUUUUUAAAUAGGUGAAGGAAUCUAAUAAGAACACAAUAUCACUUUGCAAUAUCCACCUACUCGUAUCCCCUGAUCUCAUUUAAAAGGCUUCUUCUUCCACCAGCCUAGCUUGCAGAUCAGUAAAUAUAACAAUAUUUCCAACAAACUGGAGGAGUUCCAACAACCAUGAUUGGCUGAUUCUUUAUUAGAAUUCUCUCCCCCUCCUAUCAAAAUUCACGGAUACAACCGUGAAUUGCUUCAACCUGAAUUGAAAAGAACGCACAAAUGAUAGUAAAUUGACAGAAGUGGAAUUCCCAGCAAUUACAAGAACGUAACUUUACAAAAGCCCAUUUUUUACGCGAACAAAUGCUGAAGCUAAUUUCCAAUGAACGAUACCAGAACGCAAGCUGUCAAUGCACUAUCACAAUCCCAAUGAGUUUAAUACAGUAACAACAGUAAGCUCUCAGUUGAUUACAGAUCCAGACAAAUGGAAAUAAAUAGCCUUGGAGCUGUGAUUCACAUAAACCCUAAAGUGUACCUUCUCUGCUGCUAAUGCACUUGAUUAUUCCCUGUUUUCCUCUGGAAAAGAAGUGAUCCUAGAAUAACAGCAAUGCCUGUUAUUGCAAUGGUGAAAAAAAGCCGUCUCCGUGAUGAAUAAUCAUGUGGCUGCCUUCUUGGAGCACCUGGUGCUCUUUCAGCUGCUCUCACAUCCCUUCAAACAUUCCAAAUAUGUUAGGGCCAUGAAUGAUAAUAUCAGGGAUGACAAUAGAUAUCUGAACACAAGGCACAAAUCCUGUACUGACAAAUUAACACUUCAAUCAGAAAGUACAAAAUCCAGGAGUUCCCUAAGCAGCUAAGCCUCAAUUAUGUAGUUGCACUUGUAUAACUUGAAAAACAUUUCCCUUCUACUCCUAAAGUUCAGGAAAACUACUAAAAAAACUCAUUAAUGUUUUAGCAGAUGAGAAGACCCUUUUAAUAGCAUGUGCUUUCAAAAAAUUGCAACAGAUUGAACCAUCACCACAAAUAAUACCCACAUUCUCAUAUAUUUUCUGUUUUCAUUUCACCGUGACUUGCAAUAUCCACUUCAAUGGUUAAAUAUAUUUCCACUACAGAUCCACCCACAGAGGUUUCCCACAUCAAAGGGAUUGACUGGAGAUGCACUUCGAAAAAUUGCCUUCAAAAUAAGCCCCAAAAGUGUACACACUUAAAAGCCAACACAAGAUUAAGACAACUGAGUAAAACUAUAAAUCACUAACAGCUAAAGCAAAAGCAAACCAAU